GUGGGGAAUAUUGGACAAUGGGCGAAAGCCUGAUCCAGCCAUGCCGCGUGUGUGAAGAAGGUCUUCGGAUUGUAAAGCACUUUAAGUUGGGAGGAAGGGCAGUAAGUUAAUACCUUGCUGUUUUGACGUUACCGACAGAAUAAGCACCGGCUAACUUCGUGCCAGCAGCCGCGGUAAUACGAAGGGCGCAAGCGUUAAUCGGAAUUACUGGGCGUAAAGCGCGCGUAGGUGGUUUUGUAAGUUGGAGGUGAAAUCCCCGGGCUCAACCUGGGAACUGCCUCCAAAACUGCAUGACUAGAGUACGGUAGAGGGUAGUGGAAUUUCCUGUGUAGCGGUGAAAUGCGUAGAUAUAGGAAGGAACACCAGUGGCGAAGGCGACUACCUGGACUGAUACUGACACUGAGGUGCGAAAGCGUGGGGAGCAAACAGGAUUAGAAACCCGAGUAGUCC
RNAcentral lists this ribosomal RNA (450 nucleotides) under uncultured bacterium. RNAcentral's name for it is "partial 16S ribosomal RNA". It matches the Rfam family "Bacterial small subunit ribosomal RNA", at positions 354 to 796 of the family's 1533-position model. The record is from RNAcentral.